This 1643-nucleotide long non-coding RNA is filed under the name Eucalyptus grandis. RNAcentral's name for it is "long non-coding RNA (EGRA_LNC003106)". The record is from RNAcentral. Lineage: Eukaryota; Viridiplantae; Streptophyta; Magnoliopsida; Myrtales; Myrtaceae.
GAUGCUCGGCCCGCUUUGAGGAAAGUCGAUCCUCGCGUCGUCCUCGUCGUUUUGGUCCACUCGGCUCGCUAAUUCGGUGAGUUUAACUCACUAAACCUCGCUUAGAGGGUUAAUUAUGCUUAGGGAUGUUUAGUUUAUGUUAAGUAUUAUUAGGUUGUUAGUUUAGGUUAAUUAAGAGUAGAUUUGAUUAAGGUUGUGGUUUAAUUUAAAGUGUGCUUAAUUAAGGGUAAGUAGGUUUAUUUAAAAUAAGCCUUGAUUUGACUUAAAUGAAUUUACUUUUGAUUUAUUUAAAUGUCUCGAAAUUAUUAUAUAAUUUAAUAAUAUAUUUUAUUCGAAAUUAAUAAAAUAUUAUUAUUUAAUUAUUUUCGGAAUAAAUUUAAUUAUUUAUUAAAUUCCGAAAUUUUUGUGAGGACCCUAAAUUCUCAGAAUUUCGUACCAGUCGCUGUUGUGUAGUCAGAUUUUGAAAUUGACGAUUGGAUUUUAUAAAUUGAGUGUGGAUCGUGAAAGACAUGGAUAUUAUUAUUUAAUUAAUUUUCGGAAUAAAUUUAAUUAUUUGAUAAAUUCUGAAAAUUAGUUUGGAACCUUCUUCUCUCAUAAUUUCGUGCUGAUCGCUGCUGUGUAUUUAUAAUUUGAAUUUGAUGAUUGAUUGUGGCAAAUGGAGUGUGAUUGUGAUAAAUAGGGAUUCUUUAUAAAUCCUAAGUGUAGAAAUUGAUGGGAGAUUGGCCGUGAUGUACCACCUAGGAAAGGUCGUGCCCAGUGAGGCCGUGACGUACCACCUAAGAAAGGUCGUGCCCAGUGAGGCCGUGAUGUACCACCUAGGAAAGGUCGUGCCCAGUGAGGCCGUGAUGUACCACCUAGGAAAGGUCGUGCCCAGUGAGGCCGUGAUGUACCACCUAGGAAAGGUCGUGCCCAGUGAGGCCGUGAUGAACCACCUAUGAGAGGUCGUGCCCAGUGAGGCCAUGAUGAACCACCUAUGAGAGGUCGUGCCCAGUGAGGCCGUGAUGUACCACCUAUGAGAGGUCGUGCCCAGUGAGGAGGUCGUGCCUAAUAGGGCCGUGAUGAACCACCUAUGAGAGGUCGUGCCUAAUAGGGCCGUGAUGAACCACCUAUGAGAGGUCGUGCCCAGUGAGGCCGUGAUGUACCGCCUAGGAGAGGUCGUGCCGAGUGGGGCCGUGAUUGCCACUGAUUGUUAAACCUUCCUAUAGGGCCGUAAUUGAGAGCAAUGAUUGAUUUGCUAGAAUGACAUGUAAUCGGCCGAGUCGAUUGAUCGCUGAGACGAUCCAAGUGGUUGAAUUGUUUGAUAAUGUUAUUGUGCCAUAAUUGUUUGGUUACCAUAAUUGUACGUGGUUGAAUUAUGUAAAUUGUGCUAACCUGCAGAUGAAGGCUGAGGCGAGGUAAGUCUUCUGUGUGAUGGUGGCUAGGCCACUCGGGGCGUAUUUUCUUUCUAAUAGGAGUUUAGGGGGUUGAACUUGCUGAGACGUUGUCUCAGUGGUUAUUGAAUAACCAUUUCAGGUCCCUGGUGGACGGAGCGACCAGAUAGCUUUGGUUGGCCUUGAGGAGUUGCAGAGGUGAAGUCAUAAGAUUGGAGAACGUGUCCGACUUGUAGGUCGUAGGACAAUUCAUUUUUAAGAGCCGGUCUUUUG